UUUGGCCUCUCCCUUAUCUUCACUGAACCUCUUAUCAAAGUUAUUAGCCCGACAAUGUAAGCCGGGUCUGGAUAAAUAAAAUUGACCCGAAGUCAAACCCAACUGAUUCUGGGUAUAUUGAAACAAAAUCUAAUGGUUAAACAUAUUGGUUAAUUAUAGCAUCUCUAUGAAUCUUUGUACAACAAAUGUUGGACUAGGCAAUGAAAGAUGAUGGAAACUAAAUUCACCAACCAAAUUUGUUUUUGGGCAUAGCCGUUAAUGACCCUGGUGGUAUUUCUGUGCUUCUAUUCUACAAAUAGAAUGGAUGAAGAUAUACAAGUUUAGCAAGUAAUCUAUCUAACAGCUUCAAAAUACUUGUGUUUUGUUAUUUGUUAUUUGUUAUUUCUUUUAAUAGUUAAGAGCCAGUUUUGCUAUGCCCAUAUAAUCCUAGUGCAAAAAGAAAAAUAAAAUCCAUCUAUAAACUCUUAUUGAUUAGGCCGCAAUUGUUUAUUCUUCAGCUAGAAAGCAUUAUGGGUUCUGUCAUAAAGGAUGGUUCUUCUUGUUUUCUGAGUUUCUGCUGUGUUUUCAUCCUUGUUCAUCCUUUUUCAUGUGAUGCACAAGAACUGAAAGCAUGUGGAUUGGAUGCAAUAUAUCAAUUUGGAGAUUCAAUUUCAGAUACAGGCAAUGCUGUUCUAGAAUUUUCUAUCCUUCCUUAUGACCAAUUUCCCUACGGCAUAACAGUUAACAAUGCAACUGGUAGACCUUCAGAUGGACUACUUAUGGUUGAUUACAUUGCACAAGCAGCUGGUCUUCCAUUUGUUGAACCAUAUGAAAACCCAAAAUCCAAUUUUUCCCAUGGAGUAGAUUUUGCAGUUGCUGGUGUAACUGUUGUGACAGCAGAAACUCUAGUUAAAUGGCAUAUCCCACUUUUGUCACUAACCAUUCUCUAACAUUGCAACUUGGGUGGUUUGAGAAGCACUUGUCAACUAUCUGCAGUGAUCCUAAAGAUUGCCAAGAGAAACUGAAGUCAGCCCUCUUUAUGGUUGGGACAAUGGGAUCUAAUGAUUAUUUCCUUGCAUUGAGUCGAAAUAAAACCCUUGAGGAGAUCAAGAACACCAUGGUGCCUGUAGUGGUGCAGACCAUAACGGAAGUUGCCAAAAAACUUAUCGGCCAUGGUGCUGUUCGAGUGGUUGUCCCUGGACUUCAUCAAUUGGGUUGUUCACCAGGCAUACUUACAGCAUUUGAGACCAAUACAUCUGUUCAUGAUGCACAAGGCUGCCUGAAAGAUUUCAACGACAUGUUUGUGUAUCACAAUGAUCAUCAGCUCUUGAAGGAUUGAGAAAAGAAUUUCCUAACGUGCAUGUCGUAUAUGCUGAUAACUACAGUGCACUGCAAUAUAUCAUAGACAAUUUGUCGAAGCUUGGAUUUAAAGCAUUACGAGAAGCCUGUUGUGGAACCGGAGGAAAAUACAAUUACAGUGUUGAUCAAUUAAAGUUUGCCUGUGGACUUCCUGGCAUACCAUAUUGUUCAAACCCUAGAGAACAUGUCUUUUGGGAUGGAGG
Molecule: RNA transcript, 1541 nt
Organism: Ricinus communis (castor bean)
Lineage: Eukaryota; Viridiplantae; Streptophyta; Magnoliopsida; Malpighiales; Euphorbiaceae
Gene name: GDSL esterase/lipase At5g03980-like
Exons: 5
Source: RefSeq, a predicted model, not a curated record